Molecule: long non-coding RNA, 3195 nt
Organism: Plodia interpunctella (Indianmeal moth)
Lineage: Eukaryota; Metazoa; Arthropoda; Insecta; Lepidoptera; Pyralidae
Exons: 3
Source: RefSeq, a predicted model, not a curated record
UUUGGCUCUAUUGUCUUAAAGACUAUCUAUGAAUACGACUUUCAAGCGAGCUAGGCAGAAAUUUUCGAUUAAGAAAAAUCUAACGAAGACCUCUCAAAUGAUUCAGUUAAUGUUAAAACGAUAAUUGCGUGGAUUCGAUUAUUACUUAUAUACUAUAAGGAUCGGGUACCUGGUGAACACGUUCCUCUGGGCCUUGGACUCGCUGUAACGCGCCAUCAGCGUGACCAGCGCCUUCUUUGCUGUGUCGUAGUUCUCGUCCAGGCGCACGCGCACCCCUCGCAGCCGCUCGUUCGUCUCGAUCACCUCUUCCUUCGUCUGACCGCCUGGUGACAAAUAUAUUUCGAUUAAUUAUAAUAAAAAUUUCAAAUUACACACGCAAGAACAAUUAUGUGAUAACUCGAGUUUCGCGAACGAAGUUGCGGGCAUCAGAUAGUUGAUAAUGAAAUGGCCUUUUCAUAUAACUUAACUAAACAAUUAUUCCAAUUACUUAAUUGUAUCGUUAACUUAUAUGAAAAGGCUGUUUUAUUUAUCGAAACCCCAAAACAGAAUUAACAUACUUAUACGAAUUGCUGAAUAAUUAAAACCUCGACAAAUGUGAUUAAAUGCAUCUCAAACAAAUUGCAAGCCAGUGCUCAAUAUAACAAAAAUUGGAUACAUAAUAUUGAUGUAGGUACUUAGGAUUUCUUUAUAAUUUGUUUUAGGUAAUUAUUAUUUUUAUGUUAAUUUUCAACACAUACUAAUAUUUUAAAAGCCAAAAUCUGUUUUAUCUGUUACGCUUUCACUAGUAAACAGCUAAACUGGUGGCAUUGUUUUAUUGUUUCAACAAAAUUUGAAUUGCCUACUGGAGGCAGUGUAAAUCCGCCACUGCUUUUUAAAUUGCAUUGAUACAUGUGAAAUUAAGAACUUGUUACAUACAUGUUAAUCAGUGACUGUAUCUUUUUAAUUAAAUAAAUGUGAGAGUAUUUCGUCAGCCACAUAAAUUUCAAAUUGAAUAUUUUCAUUGGAAAAUAAAUUAUUUACAAUGAGUGAUCAAAUUUAAUUAUAAAUUAUUAUCUCUCCAGAGCAAACAAUGUGAAAUGCUGCAUAUUGAACAUUUUGCGAGAUGGAUUUCACAUUUGAUCGAACUUACAUUGGAUUGACUAUUGAAAAUAUUUUUAUUAUAGUACAAUAAACGUGUUUCAGUUCAGUUGGCCUACAAAUUGAUAGGAUUAUUGCUAGUUUAAGUCCCAUUGCCGGGCAAAAGCCUCCCCAAAUUUCUUCCAAGCAUCCUGUUAUUGUUUUCUUAUCAUACGAUCCUGGGCUUUCCUCUUUUCCGAUAUCGGUCGGUUAGAAGUAUAGAUAAAAGAAAAAUAUUUUGGAAGAAAUAACAUUUAAUUUGUUAUGAAAUAUUAAGAUAUUUCAUAACAAAUUAAAUGUUAUUUCUUGCAAUUUCUAAGCAAUUGUGAUUUGUGUUAGCGAUAUGUUACCUCCAUAUGGAGGGUAGCAUAACAUUUUAACGUGGUACUAAUGUUAAUCUUUGUUUUUCCUUAACUCUUUCAUUUAAAUUGUAAUUCGUCGUACAGAAAUGUACUUGGAGAAAUAUGAUCUCGAAGCAAGGUGCUCGAUGAACAAAAUUUUCUAAUUUUAUAAAGUGUUACACGUGUUACAAGUGUAAAUGUAAACACGUAGGGAACCCAAAACAAACAUUUAUUUUAUUUAUUUUAUACAAAGAUCUUGGACUCGCCCAGUGAAGAUGGAAAAUGGUCUAUUAUAAAUAUAAUACAUUCUGAUUUCUACUACAAAUUUAAAUAAUCUGGGUAUUGUAUUCGUAUUCUAUACUUUACCAGUUAACUCGCUAAGUGAUUUCCAAUUUUAAUGUAAGUAGGUAUUUUAGUACGUGAACUAGUGUUGCCACUAGAAAGAAAUCAAUAAAUAUCAUAAACACAAAAUUAAAUAAUUUAUUCUGCAAAUAUCUCAGUAAUGAUCAUAGUUGAUCUUAGUUAAAUUAAAACUAAGUAUACUUAUACAAUACCAGACCGACACAACGACAAGUGGCAAAAACUAUAUGAACGUAGAUUGUAGGUAUGUACUUAUUUUGGAAUGUUUUCCUUAGAAAUGAACGUGAACAAAAGGAAAUAAUUUCGCUUGAGAUGUUCUCCAAACAAGUGUUUAUUAACUAAACAGCCGAGACCAUACUGCCGACGAAUGAUUUAUUGGGUAUUUUUUAAUAAACAGAUAAAUAUUGUUUAAGUAUAUAGAAAAUUAUUUUCGAAAUAGUAUGGGCCGAGAAUUUUAGUAACAUCAAUGGAAAGAGAUUAGUGGAAGAAAAACUGGGAGACAACAUCAACAAGCUAGUGGUUUGUUGAUGAUACGUCAAAAUAAAACGCGUUCAAAAUUACUUUGAAAGGUGAAUAAAUAAAAACAAACCGAAUAUAAUGCCCAGUGCUAGGGCACCUUUUUUAUGGAUGGGCAAGGAGUUUGGGCCAUGACCCACCAUGCGGCAUAUAAAUGGAGAGACAACUUUUUUAAAUAAGUGUCCGGUCACGCAGGAAUAGAAAACAAUUUAUUCAUAAACAAAAAAAAAUCUUCUGAAUAAUCCUAUUUAUUCCACUGUGUUCUCUUCCCGAGUCCCAACAACCUUGACCGGGAGCGCAGAGGCUGUAUUCGGGGUGGCGGCGAUCACGUCUGCUCUCUGCCUGUCUACACAAAUCAAUGAUUGGCGCUUUUAGCAUUCCCCGUGGACUCCACCAAUUUGCUUCGAGAACGUUCUCCAAAUUUUGUUUCGAUGCAGGAUGUAAAUGCAGAGGAAAUAAAAUGACGUCACCCUCUCACCGCACCUCUCACAUGCCCGCCACCAGAGCGCACAUUUAUAAAGGCUUUCUAUAAAUGCCCGUAUAUGCAUACCAUGCUGCAACAAAUGGUUUGCAAAUUGUAGGUUACAUAAAUAUUAAAAUCACUUUGGGGUGUGGGUUUAUUGUUUUUAUUCAUAGAAUUUAUUGUCUUCCUACAAAAUAGGCAUGUCCUGAAAAUGUAUGCAUCGCUAAGGUUAAAAAACUUCCUAAGGCCAUCGAUUUGGACCACUGUAGAAAUGCUAUAAUUUUCUGUGAAAUAAAAUAAAUAAAUAAAUUUGUUUCCUAAAUAUGUAAUUUAUUACGAUUUUUAAACAAACUAUACUUUUAUGUUUGCAUUCCCUCGAUGAUUUUUGAGUUUCUUAAU